Amphimedon queenslandica is the source of this 381-nucleotide long non-coding RNA. RefSeq lists it as uncharacterized. Lineage: Eukaryota; Metazoa; Porifera; Demospongiae; Haplosclerida; Niphatidae. The transcript has 3 exons. The record is from RefSeq and is a predicted model, not a curated record.
AUGAGAAUGCUGCAGCUGACAAGUUAGAUCAAGAGAAACGUAAUGCUAUUAUCAGUGGUAAUGAUAUCAAAGGAACCAAUGAUGUACACAGUACUGCUACUGGUACAAACAAGCUAUUGAUAGGAGGUCCUUCACUCUCUCCUAUUGCAUUAAUGGAUAUACCAGAUGAUAGACCAGCAGUAUCUGAAUUGAUAGAGUUUCAUGAGUUAUUGAUCAAAGGACAACUGGAGGAGUCUCUACCACUGCUUGAUGCUGAUACUAUAAGAAAGAUUAGAAAUACUGUUAAUGAUCAUGAAGGAAUGUCUCUUCUUAUAAGAGCAUUUGAAGAACAUCCAACACUGCUACAUGAAAUGAGAGUAGCCACUGGAAAAAUAAAAGGUA